UUUUGUACAAAAUUCUUAUUAUAUUUGUAAGAACCAUGUCCAGUAGAAGUCAUUGUUUGAAAGCAGCUUGGAAUCGAAGAAAGCACCGGAACCACGGCGAAAUCAGUGGGAUCUAGCAUGUUGCAGCACACGGUUUGAAAAAGCAUGUGAUCAAACGAAGCAUCGGACAUCAUUGAUGAUAUACUUCUGAUAAGGGUGGUGUCUAAUUCCCAUUGAAAUUCAGCCAAGUGGCGGAUUUGCUACGUUCGGACUGAAUUUUGCAUUCGGACUGAUUGCAAGUAGUCACCCCGAACUAAAAGGUGGUUAAAAUGGCGGUGAGGGGAAACAUAAACGAAAUGGAAAGCGUGAGGGUGGUAGAGGACCAUGCCCAGAAGCCCUGUGGACCUGCUACACCUUCCUCUCAGCCCAGAUUGAGUGAGAAUGGCUUGCCAGACUGCUCCCCUCUCUGGUUCUCCCUGAAACCUGGGUGAGAGGGCAACAAACUGCACAGCGAACCAAGAUACACGCACGCAGACCGCAAACCAUCCACUCUGCAUAAUGUGCAUGAAAAUAAUAUGUGUAAUCACAGUCCAAGAAUACAUCCAGAAAGUCUCAUAGAAAGACAGACUCAUUUGGUUUGGUUUACUGUGUGCAGCAGAGUGCCAAGUGCAAGAGAUGGUGAAAGCUCAGCAAGGUUAGCAAGUGUAAUUGCAGACCUUUGUCUGCAUUCCAAAUGGCACCCUAUUCCUUUGUAUACUGUAAUGCACACAAGUAGUGGAC
Long non-coding RNA from Oncorhynchus tshawytscha (Chinook salmon), 759 nucleotides. The record is from Ensembl. Lineage: Eukaryota; Metazoa; Chordata; Actinopteri; Salmoniformes; Salmonidae.